Molecule: ribosomal RNA, 497 nt
Filed under: uncultured bacterium
Lineage: Bacteria
Description: partial 16S ribosomal RNA
Rfam family: Bacterial small subunit ribosomal RNA
Source: RNAcentral
GAUGAACGCUGGCGGCGUGCCUAACACAUGCAAGUCGAGCGAACAGAUGAGGAGCUUGCUCCUCUGACGUUAGCGGCGGACGGGUGAGUAACACGUGGAUAACCUACCUAUAAGACUGGGAUAACUUCGGGAAACCGGAGCUAAUACCGGAUAAUAUAUUGAACCGCAUGGUUCAAUAGUGAAAGACGGUUUUGCUGUCACUUCUAGAUGGAUCCGCGCCGCAUUAGCUAGUUGGUAAGGUAACGGCUUACCAAGGCGACGAUGCGUAGCCGACCUGAGAGGGUGAUCGGCCACACUGGAGCUGAGACACGGUCCAGACUCCUACGGGAGGCAGCAGUAGGGAAUCUUCCGCAAUGGGCGAAAGCCUGACGGAGCAACGCCGCGUGAGUGAUGAAGGUCUUCGGAUCGUAAAACUCUGUUAUUAGGGAAGAACAAAUGUGUAAGUAACUAUGCACGUCUUGACGGUACCUAAUCAGAAAGCCACGGCUAACUACGUG